Molecule: ribosomal RNA, 474 nt
Filed under: uncultured bacterium
Lineage: Bacteria
Description: bacterial SSU rRNA
Rfam family: Bacterial small subunit ribosomal RNA
Source: RNAcentral
CUACGCACUCCUACGGGAGGCAGCAGUGGGGAAUAUUGCACAAUGGGCGCAAGUCCUGAUGCUAGCCAUGCCGCGUGUAUGAAGAAGGCCUUCGGGUUGUAAAGUACUUUCAGCAGUGAGGAAGGUGGAUAUGUUAAUAGCAUAUUCAUUUGACGUUAGCUGCAGAAGAAGCACCGGCUAACUCCGUGCCUAGCAGCCGCGGUAAUACGGAGGGUGCGAGCGUUAAUCGGAAUUACUGGGCGUAAAGCGCAUGCAGGUGGUUUGUUAAGUCAGAUGUGAAAGCCCGGGGCUCAACCUCGGAAUUGCAUUUGAAACUGGCAAACUAGAGUACUGUAGAGGGGGUAGAAUUUCAGGUGUAGCGGUGAAAUGCGUAGAGAUCUGAAGGAAUACCGGUGGCGAAGGCGGCCCCCUGGACAGAUACUGACACUCAGAUGCGAAAGCGUGGGGAGCAAACAGGAUUAGAUACCCUGGUAG